RNAcentral lists this ribosomal RNA (508 nucleotides) under Anomoeomunida caribensis. Its description in RNAcentral is "partial large subunit ribosomal RNA". The stretch from base 385 to 508 matches the Rfam family "Bacterial large subunit ribosomal RNA", at positions 2473 to 2597 of the family's 2925-position model. The record is from RNAcentral. Lineage: Eukaryota; Metazoa; Arthropoda; Malacostraca; Decapoda; Munididae.
GUCUAUUUGAAGUUAUAAAAAGUCUAACCUGCCCAUUGAAAUUUUAAAAGGCCGCGGUAUAUUAACUGUGCAAAGGUAGCAUAAUCAUUAGUUUUUUAAUUGAAAGCUUGUAUGAAAGGUUGGACAAAGAAUAAUCUGUUUUCUGUUUUUAUUUUUGAACUUGACUUUUGAGUUAAAAGGCUUAACUAAACUUAAGGGACGAUAAGACCCUAUAAAUCUUUAUAUUAUUUUAUUUUAUAUUUAUUUAUAAUGUAUAUGUAAUAAUAAAUUAAUAAAUAUUAAAUUGGGGUGAUUUAAAUAUAUAAUUAACUGUUUAAAAAUUAAUUCAAUUUUUUUGAUUAUAAUAGAUCCUUAAUAGAGAUUAAAAGUUAAAGUUACUUUAGGGAUAACAGCGUAAUUAUCUUUGAGAGUUCAUAUCGAAAAGAUAGUUUGCGACCUCGAUGUUGAAUUAAUUUUUCUUUGUGGUGAAGGUGUUACAAAAGAAAGUCUGUUCGACUUUUAAAAUUUU